AGGUUUCAGACGUGAAGGCGACACCGUUUCAGCCGUACAGCGAGGUGUUUGGUCUGCAGAGGUUCCGUGAGUGUGAGCUGAUUCAUGGGAGGUGGGCCAUGUUGGCUACUCUUGGUGCGCUUACUGUUGAAUGGCUCACUGGAGUUACCUGGCAAGACGCAGGCAAGGUUAGUUUACUUACCUGCUGCCCUGAAAUGCUUUUAGAAACCAUCCUUUUGCUGCAUGAUUGAGUCAUGAUCUGUUUUGAGUGCUAAUUAACGUUAAGAUAUAGUAGAAAGGCUGCCAAGCUUAAUUUUCGAUGCCUUUUGUUGAUGGAUUCAUUAGAAAUAUUGUUGAAACUUGAAACUGAGUAGCAUAUGGGAAUAGAAACUUGUUUGAUGAGAAACCUUUUCAGGGUAAAAUGUAGUUAUUGUCUUGAUCCUUCUGGAUUUGAGAAAGGAAGUCAUUCUGCACAUUUAUCUGAUGAGGAAUUAGUAAAUUAGAGCAGAUUUACUUGUUUGAAACUCGGCAUGGCCAAUGUAAGUUGCUUUCAGAGGGAAUAACAUAAACUGUCUGGUUAUUUCAGGUAGAGCUGGUUGAGGGGUCAUCUUACCUAGGCCAACCCCUUCCGUUCAACAUUUCAACAUUGAUUUGGAUCGAAGUCUUGCUGAUCGGAUACAUUGAAUUCCAAAGGAACGCAGAGCUUGACCCUGAGAAGAGGCUGUACCCCGGAGGAAAGUUCUUUGACCCUCUUGGCUUGGC
RNAcentral lists this long non-coding RNA (741 nucleotides) under Theobroma cacao (cacao). Its description in RNAcentral is "long non-coding RNA (TCAC_LNC002803)". The record is from RNAcentral. Lineage: Eukaryota; Viridiplantae; Streptophyta; Magnoliopsida; Malvales; Malvaceae.